RNAcentral lists this long non-coding RNA (286 nucleotides) under Hordeum vulgare. Its description in RNAcentral is "long non-coding RNA (HVUL_LNC013767)". The record is from RNAcentral. Lineage: Eukaryota; Viridiplantae; Streptophyta; Magnoliopsida; Poales; Poaceae.
UACGAGUGUUGUCGUCCCAGCGAGAUCCACAACCAACCGGUGUUGCAAGGUCGGCGGCCAACCCCAACUUGCCUGUUGCAACUUGCAAGGUGUCAUCCCACCACUGGUUCGUCGCCGGAGUGGGAGAGGGCAUGGGGUGGUUGUCGUUCCGCUCGGAGCAAUCUGGGGACUCGUAUUCGAAGGUUUGCUGAAUUUAAGGAAGAAAGAAGAAAGAAUGAGUGGGAGACGAUGGAGAUGCAGAGGGGAUAAGGCUUAUCAGGUCCACGCAGGACACGCGUCGGUAGGA